Molecule: ribosomal RNA, 115 nt
Filed under: Rhodobacterales bacterium LSUCC0031
Lineage: Bacteria; Pseudomonadati; Pseudomonadota; Alphaproteobacteria; Rhodobacterales
Source: RNAcentral
UUUGGUGGUCAUAGCACGAGCAAAACACCCGGCUCCAUUCCGAACCCGGCCGUUAAGUGCCGUUGCGCCGAUGGUACUGCGUCUUAAGACGUGGGAGAGUAGGUCACUGCCAAAC